GAGCUUUUAGCUCUAGUGGCGGACGGGUGAGUAACACGUGAGAAUCUGCCCUUAGGAGGAGGAUAACAGCUGGAAACGGUUGCUAAUACUCCAUAUGCCGAGAGGUGAAAGGAUUUAUCCACCUAAGGAGGAGCUCGCGUCUGAUUAGCUAGUUGGUAGGGUAAAGGCCUACCAAGGCGACGAUCAGUAGCUGGUUUGAGAGGAUGAUCAGCCACACUGGGACUGAGACACGGCCCAGACUCCUACGGGAGGCAGCAGUAGGGAAUUUUCCGCAAUGGGCGAAAGCCUGACGGAGCAAUACCGCGUGAGGGAUGACGGCCUGUGGGUUGUAAACCUCUUUUCUCAAGGAAGAAGUUCUGACGGUACUUGAGGAAUAAGCAUCGGCUAACUCUGUGCCAGCAGCCGCGGUAAUACAGAGGAUGCAAGCGUUAUCCGGAAUCACUGGGCAUAAAGCGUCUGUAGGUUGUUUGGUAAGUCUGCUGUUAAAGACUGGGGCUCAACCCCAGAAAAGCAGUGGAAACUGCCGGACUUGAGUGUGGUAGA
RNAcentral lists this ribosomal RNA (543 nucleotides) under uncultured Halomicronema sp. Its description in RNAcentral is "bacterial SSU rRNA". It matches the Rfam family "Bacterial small subunit ribosomal RNA", at positions 80 to 655 of the family's 1533-position model. Lineage: Bacteria; Bacillati; Cyanobacteriota; Cyanophyceae; Nodosilineales; Nodosilineaceae. The record is from RNAcentral.